CCAGAGAGGGCUAUUCUGGGAGGGAAUGCAUGGUUCACAGCCCCCAGGCAAGUGAGCUGGAGUGACAGUGGAUAUUGUCUGAGUGCCAAGGCAGGGGCCAUAUCCCAUUUUUCUAAAUAUCCGUCACAUCUCACCUAGUGCCUACCACCGAAACCCAGGGUGUAUUUUUUGAGUGAAUGAAUUAAUUCCAAAAUUAAAGACAUCCUCUAAUUGUUCAGCAUUUUAUUUUUCUGCACGGAGUUCUCAGUAGUCACAGAGACUGCUUCCUUCUUCCAGCUGUCAACACCACCAGGUCUAUUAUGAGCAUGGCUAUCUGACCUUUCACACUAUCCACCUUUCACUCACCUCCAGGGAUAGAUCCACCUUUCACUCACCUCCAGGGAUAGAUCCAUGCAGAGGGCUGCAGCUUCUGUGUACUUGUGUAUUUUUUUUCCGAGUAGAUUUUAUAAAUUCAAAAUAUGUGAUUUGAAUUAGAUAUUUAAUAAAGCAAUAAUAUUAGCUCUCUUUCUUGCCCUGCUGCAUCUAAUGAUAAUGAUUUGAGAUUAUUUUCAUAUGGGAAUAGAUUUCUAAUAUCAUUAUUGGGGUUAAAAGUUGCUCUUUGUCUUUUUGUAGGUGAUUCCGUAUAUAGAUCAUGGAACAUUAACCAUGGAAAGCGCUCUGUAGGGAUAAACAUGUGAAUGCAAUCACAGUCAAAUUAUGAGGACCUAAGUAGGCAUGUAUACAAUCAACCUACAAGGGAGAUACUGCGUUCUGUCUACAGGAGGCUUCAAGGGACCAGAUAACUUGCAAAGAAUAUGGUUUGUAGUGAUGGAAAAACGAUGCAAAUCCGGGCGUCCAAACCGUGGCACUGAGCUCAAACAUGCUAUAUGGUUAACAGAAUCCUUGAAAGCCUAUUGUUCUCGUAGAGGUAGAUCUGGGAUUUCCUCUGACUUAAGCUAUGCCUUCUCACUUGUCCUGGGACACUCAUGUUUCCUGGGUGUGGUUGUGCAGUGGAGUGAGUCACUUGAUCCACACUCAUCACAUCCUUGGUCUUCAUCAUGGCCCCCAGCUUACUGCUAAGACGUGAGAAGGUAAUUCUCUUCUGAUUCAUGCACGGAAUAACUUGAGAUUAAUAUUACAGUGUUUUUUAUAUCAAAUUUCCUUCCUCAACUGACAGAACUAUAUAACUUCCAUAGCCCCCAAAUCAUAAUGAAUACCCAUUAUUUUGUGACUGAGAAUUAUUUCUGAAGCUUUAUCACAAUCCCAGAAAGACCUUCUCAGAUGAUGUUUUAGAAAAACGUAGCCUCUGCUUCUCAAGCUAUGUUUUCAGAAGGUUAAUUAUCUCAAAUUAAAACUUACUGAGGGGACGGGCAUUGUAGUGCAGUGGUUUAAGCUGCCACCAGCAAUCUUGGCAUCUCAUAGGAACACUGGUUUCGAGUCAUGGUGACUUCACUCUGAUCCAGCUCCCUGAUCAUAUGCCAGGGAAAGCAGCGUAAGAUGACCCACGUACGUGAACCCCUGCUACUCGAGGGGGAGUCCCAGAUGGAAUUCUGGGCUCCUGGCUUUUGUCUUGCCUACGCUGGCUGUUGUGACAAUUUGGGGACUGAACCAAUGGAUGGAAGAUCUCUCAUUUUUUAUUUCUGUCUCUCUCUCUCUCUCUCUCUCUCUCUCUAUCUUUCUCUAACAAUUUCAAAUAAGUAACUAACUCUUAAAAAAACUUAUUGAGACCUCAAUUAUUAACUUCUUGUGACAUAAGAUUCAUUUCAUUUUGUGUAUUGGAUUUUGCAUGUAUUAAGAAAACGUCUGAAGGUAGUAUUCAGUAAUGUGUUCAAUUCCCGAGUCCAGCGUUUAUUACUGGGCUGACAUCUGCAAGACACAAUGACUUUGCAGGUCAGUCUUACUCCAAGGCCUGUGUUGCUCCUGAGAAACUAUGCAAUCUUACUUCAGAAAGACUAAGCACUGAACUUUGAAAAGUACCAAUCAGUAAAUGGGUUUUCUCUUUCUGUUGAGAAAAUCCUCACUAUUGAGUCCAGGAUGAGCCAAAUCCAUCUAAACAUAAUAGACUCGGGUUUCACUAGUU
This 2059-nucleotide long non-coding RNA is filed under the name Oryctolagus cuniculus (rabbit). Its description in RNAcentral is "lncRNA (ENSOCUG00000037216.1)". The record is from RNAcentral. Lineage: Eukaryota; Metazoa; Chordata; Mammalia; Lagomorpha; Leporidae.